AAAGGCUUCACAGGAAUGAAUCUUUACUUCUUCCAAGGUUUUUGGUGUCCAUCAAUUGUUUUAAAAGCUGUGAUUUCUUGUCAAAAACAUUUCCAAGCAUUUGAUUCUGAUAUUAUCAUCGCCACUUUGCCAAAAUGUGGCACUACUUGGCUUAAAGCCUUGACUUUCUCUACUUUGUACCGCAAUCAGUUCCCAAGGGAAAAGAAUCCCCUGCUCACCUAUAACCCUCACUCUCUUGUUCGCUUCAUUGAUUAUGACUUCUAUUUCAACGACACGUGUCCUGAUCUCGAAAAUUGUACUCUUUACCAGCCAAGACUUUUUUCUAUCCACUUGCCUUAUGCUUCUUUGACAACUUCCAUUAAAGAUUCCAACUGUAAGAUUGUUUACUUAUGUAGAAACCCCAUGGACACGCUCAUUUCUUUUUGGUCUUUCUUUUCGAGGCUUCGAGGCGAAGGCUUUGAGCCAGUAUCACUAGAUGAAGCUUUUGAGAUGUUCUGCCAAGGAAUCAUUCAAUUUGGACCAUUUUUCGAUCAUGUGUUAGGGUAUUGGAGGGCAAGCCAAGAAAAAUCGAGCAAAAUAUUGUUUUUACAAUAUGAAGAUCUCAAGGAAGACAUCAAUUCUCACCUAAAAAAGUUGGCAAUGUUUUUGGGGGUUCCUUUCACUGAGGAAGAAGAGAAACAAGGAGUUGUUGAAGAAAUAGCGAAAAUUUGCAGCUUUGAGAACAUGAAAGACUUGGAAGUGAAUAAGAAGGGCGUGCAAACUUUUGGGUAUCCACAAGAAACUUUCUCAGGGAAAACAAAGACUUUUGAGGUUCCAUGUGAAGCUUUCUUCAGAAAAGCAAAAAUGGGAGAUUGGAGCAAUUAUCUCACACCCUCCAUGGUUGAACGUCUAGAGAAACUUAUUCAAGAGAAAUUGGAAAACUCUGGUUUAACAUUUAAAUUGUUCUCUAAAACUUCAAAAGAUAUUACUUCUACAUGAUCAGGGAUGUAUGUCUAUUGGCUUUAAUUUAUGAUGAAUAAAUUCCAUAUAUGCAUGUAGAGAGUCUUUCCCUCGCAAAAUAAGGUUAUAUAAUAAUAUUGAGGUUAAGAUAUGCUUUUAGUCCCUAUAUUUAUCCAGAAUUUGAGAUUUAGUUACUAUAUUUUAAAACUUAAAAUUUUAAGCCUCUUAUUUUUUUCAAUUUAAAGAGUUUAAUCUGAUCAUUAUCAUUGUUUGUAAUUUCUGUCAAGACUUGUCAACUUAAUAUGUUUCUUUUUUUGUCAAUCAUGUGCAAUGUCAUAAGAAGACAAUCUAAUUAGCAUGCCGAAUUGGCAAAUUUUGAUGGAAAAUACUAAUAAUGUUAAUGAUUGGAUUGAAAUUUUUAAAUAAAAAAUUAAAGAAUUUCACUUUCAACUCUUUAAAUAUAAUGACUAAAUUUCAGAUCUUGUCUAAAUAUAGGGACCCAAUAUUAUUCCAAGGACAUGUAAUAUAGUUAUCUGAUAUUAAGGUUAUGGUUUAUGAAUAUCUAUAUAUCUAGAUAUAAUAAAACCAACUCGUUUGAGAGCCCACUAGGAAUAAAUAGUGCUAUUGUGAUAGGUUGUUAAGAGUAAAUAAGUUUAUUGUUGUGAUUUUAAAUUAUUUUUCACAUAAUUUUAGUAAUUGAUUAUCUGUUUAAAAUUGUUAAGUAAAAAAAAACUAAAGAGAUUUUCUCAAAAAUAAAACCAAUUAACUAAUCAUGCAAAGUAACCAAAAACAUAUCACCACUUCGCUUAUGCAAUGACUCAAAAACGGGACUAAAGAAUAUACAGAAGCUUAACUAGUGAAUCAACAGGCUUAUUCUUGAUACAAAAGACAUAGAAUUGAACUUAAAGAAGGGACCUAGGCUAAGGUUCAAAUAAAUAAAUUACAAAUUACAAAAUUAGUACAACUUGAAUCUCAAUCACAAGUAAGCAAACAAAACACACAACCACAAAAGCAUAUAUAUAUUUAUUUGUUUAGCUCUAUUAUUAUUAUUAUUAUUUUGUUUAGCUUUAUCAUCAAUCAGAUUUCCCUUUCCAUACCCUACCAACCACCACCUGCUUUUGUGUUUAGUGUUGCCAGAUUUACUCUAGUCUUCCUCUCCACAUUCUUUGAAUAUAUCUCAUUUACUUGUUUGCAAUAUUUUUUCUUUCCAUAAAAAAAAAACUCUCUAGACACUAUUAAUGAUUUAAUGAAAUAAUAAUCAAAAUAUUGAAUGCGGAUAGCAUUAGAGACAAAAAUAUUUUUUUUUUUAGACUUGAAUGAUAAACUAAAACACUUUAAUUAAUAAUUAAGCGAAUACUGGUCUAUAUCUAAAAGUUAAAAAAUAUAAAAACAAAUUUUAUUAAUCAAAUAAUAUCUUAAAAAAACAUAUGUUCACAAUCAUUGCACAAAUGAAUUUAAUAAUGCAACCUUUUGGCUAAAGAUGAAGAUAAUUUCAGCAUUAAAGUUUAAUAAUGCAACCUUUCGGCUAAAGACGAAGAUAAUUUUCAGUGGUGCAAGAUCUUCCGUAUCCCACAGCAUUAAAUUUUGAUUGCAUCUCCCAUUUGAUAAUAUAAAAUAAAGGAGAUUAUGACCCAAUUUUUAAACGUUUUUAUUUUAGGUAAUAAAAAAAAGUUUUUCAUUAUUUUGACUACUUCCGUUAAAUUUGUAAAUCAAAAUAAUAUGAAAUUAUUUUUAAAAUUUUGAUUUUUCACACAAUUUAAAAAAAAUAAAAAUUUAUCAUUUUAAUCUUCAAUCUUUUAAUAUAAGUGAGGUUUAACCCUCUUCUUAACAAAUUGGGAAUAACAACCACAUCAUCUAUGAAAAAUGGCCUCCACUUUCAUCUGCUUCAUUGAUUGGAGCAAUGCAUCAUCGUCGUCGCUAACUCUUUGUGGUAGAGGUGACAAAAGUUCGAAAAAAAAAAUAAAGGAUAGUAUUAAAACAUCAGACUCAAGAAGAAAAAGAAUAUUGAAAAUAGCCUUUUUUACGUGUAUAUUAUAAAAAAAAUUUAAUAUCAAAAUGGUAUACCAAAAUUGCAUGUUUGGGGUGGUGCCUUUCUUAUAGGCGGCACCACCAUUUUUUAAUAAAUUUUAUAUUUUAUAUUUUUAAAAAUAUAUUAUCUUAUUAGUGGUGCUAUUUACAUAGGUGACACCACUUUCAUACUCCUUAUAUAAGGUCAAAAUACAGGUAAGAAGUUGACCCGUGACCGGCCCGCCCAAGUUACACCUUCUAGACUGGCGGCGCCAGUCAUGCCUCCCUGACAGGCAAUAUUGGUGCCAGUCACUAGUCCCCUCCGUCGCGCCUAGACACUGCAUUUUGCAAUGAUUAGUCCUUUUAAAGAGAAAAAAAAGGAGAUAGGGAACCUUAUAAGCAUGGUCCCCCUUGUUGAAGAAGGGUCGGUAGUGAGAAAAAAAGAGGGCAAGAAAGGAGAGAAAGGAGAAGAUAGAAAGGAAAAGAAGAAGAAGAAAGAAAGAAAGAAAACAAAAAAAAGUAUGCAUUAUUUUAGUAAUUAAUUUUUUUAAUUUAAAGGGAUUAGUUAUUUUUUUGUAUUUAGUUUAGUGUUUGUGAUUUGUUAUGAAUGUAAUUUUUUAAAUUAUUUUAAAGUUAUUUUGUUAGUAAUUUAUGAUUAGGUUAUAAAUUGUUUGUGUUUAGUUUAGUGUUUAUUGUGACUUAUUAUAAAUGUAAUUUUUUUUGUGUUUUUUAAAUUAUUUUAAAUUUAUUUUGUUAGUAAUUUAUGAUUAGUUUAUAAAUUAUUUGUUUAGUUUAUUGUGAAAUGUGAUUUGUUAUAAUGUUUAUUAAAUUUAUUUUUAUAUAAUUUUAUAGGUUUUUUGAAAGAAACUAAACAGGUAUGUUUCUAUUUUAUUUUUUGUUGAUUCGUAUGUUUUUUAUGCUUAAAUAGUUUUUUGUUUAUUUUAAUUAUAUUAUUAUUGUAAACUAACAUAAUUUUUUUUAUGUAGGUAAAAUAUGGGAAACUAUGAGAUAUUUUUAUUGUGUUUUUUGUUACUCACGUAUUUACUAUGUUUUUACUGUGUUUUGUUGUUUCUCAAAUUACAAAUUAUUUACAAUGUUUUUUGCAACAAACUAAAUGAAUUCCUUUUUUUUAAUUGCAGAUUUAUAACAAAUGAGUUCUUUGAUUAAUAAUGAUGAUCACACAUUAAGUACUAUUAAUGAUAUGGUAAUAAAAUUGUUAUUUGUUACUCACGUCAUUUACAAAAUUAAAUUAGAUUAUAUUAACUAUUUUGUUAAUUUAAUAAUGUCAGGACUCGUACCGCGCAUUGAGGGGUCAUGUUAAUAUUAUAGGUUUUCUGUCAGAUGAACGCCUAAUGCCAUACUUGUAGUUAGCCGGAUUCAGAUCAACGACAUUGAUCUGAACCUUUGAUAUGCGAUACGACUUGAUAUUCGCUUUGUUCGAGCGAUGGCGUUCGGAGACCCACACAUUUCAUUUUCCAUGUGAGGAGUGCACCAUCACUCUACAGGAUGUUUCACUGCAGCUCGGGCUCCUCAUCGACGGGAAAGCGGUCACAGGCGUAAGUUCGAUCUCGAGGCCGAUUGCCCUUUGCUAUAACUUACUUGGAUGCUUGCCUAGUGAGGGAAAAUUUACGGGUUUGAGGUUUUCAUGGCUAAAGGUCAAUUUUGAGCAUUUACCGAGUACUACCAAUGAAUGGGAGGUGAUGCACGCCAUUCAAGCUUACAUUAUGCACAUUAUAGGGGGUGUACUCAUGCCGGAUGCAAACAACAAUAAGGUUCACUUGAUGUACUUGCCCCUAUUAUCUUAUUUCCAUAACAUUCGUUUGUAUAGUUGGGGGUUCGCAGUGUUAGCAAUUUUGUAUCGCGAACUUUGUCGGACGACAAAUCCUUUUGCGGUGGACAUAGGCGGAUGCCUCAUAUUGUUGCAGUCUUGGGCGCUUUACUAGAUGUCAUUCUUGGUAUCGAUUAUCCACCAAUCAUAUGUAUUUCCACUCGUGAACAUGUGAUGAAUUUUUACUCAUUAUAACAAUUAGUUGAUUUUUUUUCAGCUGAUAUUAUUCUAACAAUUUGUUUUCGUAGAUGGAGCACUAAUCCGGGUAUCGGGAGGUCAUACACGAUUCUGAUAUACCUUCUGAUGAUUGAGAAUCAUGUUGGAGAGGGAGUAAGUUUUUCCAAUAUUUAUGACAUUUUAUUAUUUUAUCUCACUCGACCUGCCUUAAUAUAACCAUGUUGUUAACUAUGCAAUUCAUUUGGAUGUCGUAUUCUGUCCCAUAAAUUAUUGCGGUUAUUCCCUCGUUUGCCCAUGUCCACUCAAACUUAUGGCGCAUUAACGUAUCCAUUAUCAAUUUUCAGACAGUGGACUAGUAUCAUGGUGAUCCAGUACUCCGACAGUUUGAUUGCAUACAGUAUAUCCUGACACUACCAGUACAGUUGGGGGACAUCCACAGGUUUAACAAGAGGGGGAAAUAUGAAAAUAAUUUGGCGGAAGUGCAUGAAGAAUAUAUUACAAUGUGGAACAAUCAGUUGGGACAUGUACCUCAAAUGGAUCGUGCUUUGGAUCUACAGCUCUCGUUAGAGUACAUACAGUGGUACUCUGAGAUAGGGAAAUCAUUUUUGUUUGGUGGGUAGUCGAUGGUGGUCCACCCGCACAUGACAUGACUUGGGCAAGCCUCCCAUACCCUUUCACAUCCUCCUCCUGCACCUGAGCUAGAGCUAGAGGCAGAGGCAGAGCUAGAGCUACACACUGGGGAUAGUUUUUAUCAUUCAGACUUGGGGAAAAUGACUAUUUUCUGGGCUCAUCAAACCACGAAUAUCAUUCAGAGUUUGAUAUCUUUAGCCCACUACUACCGUAAUACUCUACUCCUCCCGACUCAUAUCCACCUCAGUACUCUAAUUCUCUUAGCCCGUAUCCACCACAGCACUCCACUCCUCCCUACUCAAGUUUAUUGAUGGAGUUUUAGGCAUAUGAUUUUUCAUCUAUGCUUCACACACCCCCACGUGCGAGAGAAGAGAAUCUUGAUCGCCUCAAUCACCCACAAUGUGAAUGUCGACCAUCAAACCAUCAAUUUUAGGGGUUUUGCAAUUUAAAUAGUCAAGUUUGUAUUUAUUUAAUGACUUUUUUGCCUAAAUAAUACAAAUUUACAUAAACUAUUCUCAUCAAAUUCACAUCAACAUAAAAUGCGAAUUAGUUUAUAUUUUUUUAAAUAGCUUUACUUUGGGUAAAAUAUAUUUACUUUAAAAUUAAAAUAAAAGGGAUUUUAUGAGUAAAAAUCAUAAGUUAAGGGCUUAUUUAACUAUAAAAAUAGGUUAAGGGCUUGUUUAAACACAAUAUAAUGAGUUGAAGGGGAAUAAAAAGAAAAUAAUAAAUAAUGAGGGCUUACAAGGCAAUUAGCUACAUUUAAGGUUUGUUUAAACUCAAAAUGGAAAAUUUCAGUUAUUAAUCUUAUCGACAAGCCAUUUCAGUUAUUAAUUUAUUUUUUGUAUUAUUUGCGUAAAAAAGCCUUAUGUAAUUCUACAAAAAUAUAAAUGCAACAAAAUUUAGACUAACUUUGUAAUUCAAAUUAGAUUAAUUGCAAUAAAUUUUAGACAAAUUUUAGAUUCAAUCCUCUUUAUAUGUAGUGAAUGUAAUUAAUGCGGGCAUUUACUCCAAUUAAUAAGGGUUGUUUAGCAUCUCAAUUCUUACCCGAUCGUGACGAUUGUCCAAUAUGGUAGUUUCGGUGCGGGCAUUUACUCCAAUUAUGAUCGACUAAUUUGCAUACGCCACACAGCUUCUCGUCAGAUUUCUUUCUAAUGUCCAUUUCAUUAUGAAUUCUAGAUGAUUGCAAAUGACCUUUUGGAUUCCUACGCAACCCUUUGUCUGGGACAAGCUUGAAAGUCGUCGAAGGCACCUCCCAUGUAGAUAGGUCAGGCAAGACGGGGAACUCGUUCUCAUAGACACAGAACGUGUGCUCAAGGGUGUACACCUCAUCAAUAAAUUGUUCAACAUUGAGCGAGACUUUAGCACAAACUACAACGACAUGUGCACAAGGAUAAUGAAGUGUUUGGAACCUUCUGCAAUCGCACCAUCUGUUUCGAAGAUUAAUUCCAUAGGACCUAGGUGGUAUACCGGGUCGACGAUCAAUGGUUUCUAUAACUCAAAAUGUUUCAUUAUGUCGUAAAUAUACUUCUACAUUCAUCAACCUCACCAUUUGACGGUUUGUAACCAUUGCAUCCCUAACAUCUUCGACAAACACAUUUCCUGCUUCCAUCUAGUUGACUUGUUGCUACCCCAUUCUUGAUAUCAAGGUAUUUAACUUGUAGAACGUAGCCGAGAAAAUAGAUGAAUUUGAAAGAUGUCGUGUUUUCAUUAACACGGAGUUAACCCCUUUCGCCAAGUUAGUGGUCAUAUGACCAUAGCGAAAGCCCUCGUUGAAACUUUGAGCCCAUUGCCACAACUCCAUGGUACCCAACCAUUGUAGUAAAUGCGUGUUCGUUUGACCUUCCAUGUCACUCUCAAGUCGAGUCAUCCUUUGCCAAAAAAUAUGUGGCUCUAGCUCGUACGAUGUGUAUGUAUUAAGAGAAUAUAAGUUACAGUCUCACCCUAAAACAUUAAAACAUAUAUUGAAAAGAUAAGGUUAUCCUUUACCUAUUCUCACAACUUGUCUCCGCCAGUCUACAUUCUUAAAAUCUUGGUGGAAGUUAGCCGCAAUGUCUCGGAUGCAGUAAACGGAUCUUCAUGGCACACCGGAAUGCCUAAUAGUAGCAAUUAAUCCUUUCCCUUAUUGGAGAUGAUGCAAAUAUUAUCGUUACUAAUAACAUACCUCCGUAGGUUCGUAAAGAAGAAUUCCCACGAAUCCAUGUUCUCCUUAUCUAUGAUGGCAAAUGUUAUCAGGAGCACGUUCUUGUUCUUGUCUUGAGCAACCGUAAGAAGUAGGAUCUGUGUAUAUUUUCCAUGUAACAAGGUCUCAUCUACUUGCACAAACGGCUUGUAAUGGGGAAAUGCACACACAUAUGGAACAAACAUCCAAAACAUUUAUUGAAAAAUUCUUUUUCCUAGUUGUAGUUGAUCAUCUGGGCCAUAAUAAAAUCAUGUCUGCAACUCAAUGAUAGUCCCCAGCACAUACUCCUGCAUAGCAGCUAUCCAUCCAUGUAGCUCAUUGUAUGACACAUCGAAAUCUCCGUGAUUGCUCCAUUGCCAUUCGUUUAGCUAUUCAUGUCUUCCGAUAUGAUACUUGAUAUUAGAAUCGUACUUAUAUUUCGGCAAUCAGUACUAAAACUUUAAUGGUCGACAUGUCCUUCACCAUUGUCAUGAUGUACGUACAAAUAGUUUUAGAAUCAAGUUUUCGAUAAUCUUCUGCCAUACGUGUUGAGGUGCAUUUGUGAGGCCCAACAAAUUUUCAUAUCUCCCACAUCUACGACUUCUGGAUAAAUAUGGCUCAUACUCGUCAAUUACAACCUUCUACCGACCUCCAACACUCUCCAAUAUCUAAUGUUGGUUUAAACACGGUGACUUUGUAGUCCACUAAUAUAUUCAUGCUAUACUGCUUAAUGGAAAAUGCGCACUCUUCCUUACUUUCAAAUCUUUAGCCUACGAACAACUCCUCAAGAUCGGAAUCUACGACCAGCUGGUGAGCAUGUAGUAUUUCAAGGUACCCUGGGAACUCAGCUGUGUGUGCCACAUCGGGGUCAAUGAGUGACAUGUGUGCCCCAGGAUUAUUGCGUAUCACAAUAUGUCGAAUAUGGUCAUUCACGCCUUCGUCGUUAAUAUCAUUCGGGACCUCGUCUACAUCGGGAUCACUAUCACUAUCGACCUCGUGAUUAGAAGGAUCACUACUAUCAUAUCCAUUAUUACCAACCACAUCAGUCUCGAUUGCAGCAUUAAGAUCGAUAUUGAUCCUGCAUACAAUCGAUUAACUAUCAACAUACAUGGCUCUUAAGCUCCAUUUUCUUCACCUAAUGGAGUGGGAUAUUCAGUUGGCUCCACACUAGCUAACUCAGCAAAUAACUGAAUCGAUGCAUUUUGGUUGCUCCGAUUCCCACAAUAAAGAGUGUCCAUUGUCUCCUUUUCUUCGUUGUCUACAAGUUCCAUUUUGGUGAAUUUUAUGGGACCUAUUGAAUUGGAAACUUGUAGAAAAGUUUCGAGAUCUUUCUCCCACAACAUUUAACGCAUUUUGCACUAAUCCUUUCAUUCAUAUUAUCAAAUGAGACAUUUCUAUUAAAUCCCAUUACUAUUUGUUAGUGACAUUCAAAUGUAUAUCCCAUGGUUAUUGUCAAAAUUACUCCAUUGAAAUAAACACAUACGAAAAAAUGAUUAUCCAUCUUCAAUACUAAAUCUAUUAAAAACAAAUAAAACUUCUCAAAACAAUUUUGAACAACAAAAAAAAUACUUAUAUAAAAAAUUUAAUGAAUAAAAAGAGACCAAAAUUAUAACAAUAUGCAAAAAUUUUCAUUCAUGAGCUCAGACUUUUUCAAUUCUCAUUUCAUAGAUAUACAAAUUCUCUACUCUCUAAAAUUUAUCCUUACAUUUAACUACUUAAACUCAUUUCUUCGUUUUCUUCCAUCUCCGUUUUGGUAUAUUCCUCUAGGAAAUUCUCAAUAUUAAAUUUUGAAUUCUCUUCAAAUUCAUCUUCUACAAUCCAAUGUGGAAAUUCUUCAGGAUCUUCUUCCUCUUCAAUCUUUAUAACGGGUAUUGAAUUUAUAAGUUUUCUUGAUAAUUUCCUAACAACUAAUUUAUCAAUCCAUGGCAUGUCAAAGACAUUUUGCUUCCCAAUCAAUUUUCGCAAACCUACACUUUUUCUUGCUAAUUUCCUUGUUCCAUAAGAGAUUAUAAACUUCACGAAGUAUAUAACUAUAUUCCAAUAGGUUCGUGGUACCAAUGUCUUCCAAAUUUGGUCUAAAAUGAUUUGAUGCUUCUGUUCUAUUAAUGUCUCUCUAAGGGUCAAGUAUUGCACUUUAUUCUUUCUAAUCGAUUCAUGACCCUUCCAUAACACUUCUUGCAUAUUUUGAUUUAUGGUAAUAAGGUGUUGAAUGAUGUCUUCUUCUGGUUUCAUUGUAAAAUCUUGCAAUUCUCUCAUCAUCUUAUAAACUUUCUCCCUUUGUGCUGAAGUUGUUAUCUCAUCAAGCAAUAUCAGAUUUAUUGUCAUUUCUACUAAUAUCUAUGACAAAAAAUAUUUUUUUUCUUGAUUUUCAAUUUUUAUCUAUUUUCCUCUAGUGUCAUCACUAACUAAUAAUUAAUUUAUAAUAGUUACUAACAAAAUAACUUUCAAAUAAAUUAAAAAAUAUUAAAGAUUACAUUCUUAACCUAACAAAUCACAAUAAACCCUAAACAAACAAUUAACCUAAUCACAAAACUUACUAACAAAAUUAAUAAAAAUUUACAUUCAUAACCUAAAAAAUCACAAUAAACAUUAAACUAAACAAAUAUUUUAUAAUAGUAACUAACAAAAUAACAUUAAAAUAAAUUAAAAACAACAUAAAAAUAACAAUAAACAAACUACACAAUACUAACAAAAUAAUUUAUCCUCAUCAUAAUUCAUCCUAUUUAAAAAAGAAAAACAUUAUCCUUCUUUUUCCUUCUCCUUUCUUUCUUUCUUUCUUUUUCUUUCUUCUCCCUCUCUUCUUUCUUCUCUUCUACUAUUUUUUAACCCUCAUUCUCUUCUUCACUGGGACCAUUAAAUAGUGUCCUAAAAUCGGACCACUGGUGCCGCCUAACAGAUAAGGGUCACUAGUGCCGCCUAUCAGAUAGACACCAUCCCCUUAUACCAGUUUUGUAUUUGUACACGGCCUUAUACUAGACCUGAGAAUGCCUAGGAGAAAGGCACCACUAAACAAAUAAUAUUAUUUUUAAAAAAAUAAAAAAAAAUAAAUUUUAUUAAAAAUAUUGGUGGUGCCACCUAUGAGAAAGGCACCACCCCUAAACAUACCAUUUUGAUAUUUAAUCAUACUAACAUACCAUUUUGGUAUUAAUUUUUUUUAUAAUAUUAACGUAAAAAAGAUUUGAAAAUAUUAAACACAAUACCGAAGUUUAGUUCCACUAUUGGCCUUUUCCCUUGAAAAUAAAGGAGAUGAGGACCCAAUUUUUAAACGUUUUUACUUUAGGUAAUAAAAAAAGUUUUUCAUUAUUUUAACUACUUCUGUUAAAAUUGUAAAUCAAAAUAUAUAUGAAAUUACUUUUAAAAUUUUGAUUUUUUGUACAAUGUUUUAAAAAAAUUACCAUUUUAAUCUUCAAUCUUUUAAUAUAUGUGAGGUUGAAUCCUAUUCUUAACAAAUUGGGAAUAACAACCACAUCAUCUAUGAAAAAUGGCCUCCUCUUUCAUCUGAUUUGUUGAUUAGAGUAAUACGUCACCUUUAACGCUGACUCUUUGUAGUAGAGGUGACAAAAAAUCGAAAAAAAAAACUUAAAAAAUAGUAUGGAAACAUCAAAUAAAAAAAGAAAAGAAAUAUUGAAAAUAUUAAAGAUAAUGUCGAAGUUUCCAAAUCUACUAUUGGCCUCUUCACUUCAAGAUGAUUUACAAAUAAUUUUCUUUUAAAGUCUAUGCCUUUUUCUCUUUUUUAUAAUAGCUGUAAUAGUAAAGCUAGAAUUUUUAUACAAAUUUUUGGAUUUUUUAUAUCUGUGAGGAUUUAAGUUUUAGGUAUGGGUUAUUUUUUUUGGAAACUGUUGUUAAGUGCUUUGAAUGGUUGCCAAUUCCCCUAUGCCUCUAAUAUUUGCAUAAGAACAAUGAAAACCCUAACUAUUAUAUGCCACAAUUAUUACUAGUUAAGGAAGCAGAGCAUGUUAUUUAUGCCCUAAAGACAUUGGAAUUUAUUGUGAAUUUUUCACAGAGGAUAUGGUUGUUGUUCUCAAAUUGUUAAGGUGAGAGGUAAACCUCGUUUAUAUAAAAAGAAUGAGACUAAAAUGAUGAUUUUUAUUUCAUUUAAAUAUGUGAAAAAUCAAAAUUUUAGAAAUAAUUUCACGUUAGAUAUCUAUUUAUCAUUUUCACAGGAGUGUGUAAACUGAUCUAACAGGUGUACCUAUUUUUUCGGAUGCUUAUCUUUAAAACUUUUGAAAAUGAGGCGUUUACCCUAAAAUAAAUUAUUAAAGCAUAAAAUAUUUGAUAUGGUCUCUUUUUGGUCCGCUCCACAAAACUUGUUAUAUAAACAGAAAACUAGUUUUGAAUGUUGUUUUCCUUAUCCCUUUCUCGACCAACUACUUGUUUCACCAUGGAUAAAAUAGAUAUGUGCAACCCCAGCAUGGUUUCCACCUCUCAUGAUGUUGAGGACUCUUGGGAUGAUGAAUUCCAACAACUGGUGCAAACCUUCCCUAAAGAUAAAAGCUUCACAGGAAUGAAUCUUUACUUCUUCCAAGGGUUCUGGUGCCCAUCAAUUGUUUUAAAAGCUGUGAUUUCUUGUCAAAAACAUUUUCAAGCAUUUGAUUCUGAUAUUAUCAUCGCCACUUUGCCAAAAUGUGGCACUACUUGGCUUAAAGCCUUGACUUUCUCCACUUUGUACCGCAAUCAGUUCCCAAGGGAAAAGAAUCCCUUGCUCACCUAUAACCCUCACUCUCUUGUUCGCUUCAUUGAUUAUGACUUCUAUUUCAACGACACGUGUCCUGAUCUCGAAAAUUGUACUCUUUAUCAGCCAAGACUUUUUUCUAUCCACUUGCCUUAUGCUUCUUUGCCAACUUCCAUUAAAAAU
This 12594-nucleotide long non-coding RNA is filed under the name Gossypium barbadense (sea-island cotton). RNAcentral's name for it is "long non-coding RNA (GBAR_LNC021012)". The record is from RNAcentral. Lineage: Eukaryota; Viridiplantae; Streptophyta; Magnoliopsida; Malvales; Malvaceae.